RNAcentral lists this non-coding RNA (26 nucleotides) under Homo sapiens (human). Lineage: Eukaryota; Metazoa; Chordata; Mammalia; Primates; Hominidae. The record is from RNAcentral.
UAAUGGUGAUCUUGUUGACUGACAUG